ACCUUGUGAUCAAAAUUGUGGACGGACUUUAGGAUGUAGAAACCAUAAGUGUCCGUCUGUCUGCCACAGAGGCAGCUGCUAUCCAUGCCCAGAAACGGUAGAUGUGAAGUGCAACUGUGGUAACGCAAAGGUGACAGUACCCUGUGGCCGAGAGCGGACUACAAGGCCACCUAAGUGCAAAGAGCUGUGCAGACCAGCAGUUCCCGGGCCUGUGAGAUACUGUACAGUCAUCAUGGCUGCAGGUAGAAACAGGUCAGGAAGCUUCGUCAGGAGCACUGUGCCCCUGUGUAUUAAGUUAGUCUUUGUCCUCAGAUGUGUCCACGUCCAACACUUCAUCCUGUGAAUUCAGAUAGAACUGAGCCAUAUGUGCAGCCACAAGGAUAUUUCUCUGUGAUAUUUCACUUACUGGGUACUUUUCUUGAUCAUGUAACUUUCUACUUUUUUAAAGAAAUGAUUCUGUAACAGAAUCUUAAAUUCUAACAGGAAGUUUUAUAGUUAGAUUUCAGAUUAUCAGAGAGGAAUUUUUAUUGGUAAUUGAAGCAAAUUUUACACUGCGUAUUCCUCGGAUAUAUAAACAAGUGCCAGACGAGGUUCCUUUUAGGACGUUGUUGGGUUGGGUUUUUUUUUUUUUUUUUUUUUUUUUUGGUGUAAGAAGCUUUAAUUGAUGUUGGCAUGUUUUGUAAAACUUGUGUGUAUCUUUUUAUGAUCAUAAUAAAGGAAAACUAAUAUUUAUGAGCAAUAUGUGCAGAGCACAGGGCUGGUGGGUGUAAUGUACUUGAUUCCAUUUUUUUUUUACUGUAAUUUUUGAUAUAGCUGAGAAUAAUCCAUUUUGUGAAAUCAAACUGAUAGAGAAAUAAUAAGCCAAAUUGCAUAGAUUUGUAAGUCAUUUAAAGUAGUUUUGCUAUUUAAUUUUAUGAUUGUUUUCAUUAAAAGUUUUCAUACC
RNAcentral lists this long non-coding RNA (943 nucleotides) under Rattus norvegicus (Norway rat). Its description in RNAcentral is "long non-coding RNA NONRATT009333". Lineage: Eukaryota; Metazoa; Chordata; Mammalia; Rodentia; Muridae. The record is from RNAcentral.